GGGGCUAUAGCUCAUUUUGGAAGAGCACUUGCAUGGCAUGCAAGAGGUGAGGGGUUCAAAUCCCCUUAGCUCCA
Molecule: transfer RNA, 74 nt
Filed under: Endomicrobium sp.
Lineage: Bacteria; Pseudomonadati; Elusimicrobiota; Endomicrobiia; Endomicrobiales; Endomicrobiaceae
Description: tRNA-Ala
Rfam family: tRNA
About the family: Transfer RNA (tRNA) molecules are approximately 80 nucleotides in length. Their secondary structure includes four short double-helical elements and three loops (D, anti-codon, and T loops).
Source: RNAcentral